GACGAACGCUGGCGGCGUGCUUAACACAUGCAAGUCGAACGGUGAAGCGCCUUCCUUUUUGGUGGGUGUGGAUGAGUGGCGAACGGGUGAGUAACACGUGAGUAACCUGCCCCCUUCUUCUGGAUAACCGCAUGAAAGUGUGGCUAAUACGGGAUAUUCUGGGUCUGUCGCAUGAUGGGUCUGGGAAAGAUAUUGUUUCGGUGGGGGAUGGGCUCGCGGCCUAUCAGCUUGUUGGUGGGGUGAUGGCCUACCAAGGCGGUGACGGGUAGCCGGCCUGAGAGGGUGGACGGUCACACUGGGACGGAGACACGGCCCAGACUCCUACGGGAGGCAGCAGUGGGGAAUAUUGCACAAUGGGCGAAAGCCUGAUGCAGCGACGCCGCGUGAGGGAUGGAGGCCUGCGGGUUGUGAACCUCUUUCGCCAGUGAAGCAGGCCUGCCUCGUUUGUGGGUGGGUUGACGGUAGCUGGAGAAGAAGCGCCGGCUAACUACGUG
Molecule: ribosomal RNA, 494 nt
Filed under: uncultured bacterium
Lineage: Bacteria
Description: partial 16S ribosomal RNA
Rfam family: Bacterial small subunit ribosomal RNA
Source: RNAcentral